GCGGGGGUCGCCCAGCCUGGCCAACGGCGCGGGGCUUAAGAUCCUGUCAUUUAGAUGUUCGUGGGUUCGAAUCCCACCCCCCGCA
Molecule: transfer RNA, 85 nt
Filed under: archaeon
Lineage: Archaea
Also listed under: 3 other names
Description: tRNA-Leu
Rfam family: tRNA
About the family: Transfer RNA (tRNA) molecules are approximately 80 nucleotides in length. Their secondary structure includes four short double-helical elements and three loops (D, anti-codon, and T loops). Further hydrogen bonds mediate the characteristic L-shaped molecular structure. tRNAs have two regions of fundamental functional importance: the anti-codon, which is responsible for specific mRNA codon recognition, and the 3' end, to which the tRNAs corresponding amino acid is attached (by aminoacyl-tRNA synthetases). tRNAs cope with the degeneracy of the genetic code in two manners: having more than one tRNA (with a specific anti-codon) for a particular amino acid; and 'wobble' base-pairing, i.e. permitting non-standard base-pairing at the 3rd anti-codon position.
Source: RNAcentral